AUUGAACGCUGGCGGCAUGCCUUACACAUGCAAGUCGAACGGUAACAGGUCUUCGGAUGCUGACGAGUGGCGAACGGGUGAGUAAUACAUCGGAACGUGCCUAGUAGUGGGGGAUAACUACUCGAAAGAGUGGCUAAUACCGCAUGAGAUCUACGGAUGAAAGCAGGGGAUCGCAAGACCUUGUGCUACUAGAGCGGCCGAUGGCAGAUUAGGUAGUUGGUGGGAUAAAAGCUUACCAAGCCGACGAUCUGUAGCUGGUCUGAGAGGACGAUCAGCCACACUGGGACUGAGACACGGCCCAGACUCCUACGGGAGGCAGCAGUGGGGAAUUUUGGACAAUGGGCGCAAGCCUGAUCCAGCCAUGCCGCGUGCAGGAUGAAGGCCUUCGGGUUGUAAACUGCUUUUGUACGGAACGAAAAGGUUUGGCCUAAUACGCUGAACUCAUGACGGUACCGUAAGAAUAAGCACCGGCUAACUACGUGCCAGCCGCCGCGGUAA
Molecule: ribosomal RNA, 498 nt
Filed under: uncultured bacterium
Lineage: Bacteria
Description: partial 16S ribosomal RNA
Rfam family: Bacterial small subunit ribosomal RNA
Source: RNAcentral